AAUAGAUACCCCGGUAGUCCAUGCUGUAAACGAUGAGAACUAGAUGUUAGGGGGCAUGACCUCUUAGUAUCGAAGCUAACGCGAUAAGUUCUCCGCCUGGGGAGUACGGCCGCAAGGUUAAAACUCAAAGAAAUUGACGGGGGCCCGCACAAGCGGUGGAGCAUGUGGUUUAAUUCGAUGCAACGCGAAGAACCUUACCUACCUUUGAAUCCACGGAACCUAGCAGAGAUGUUGGGGUGCCUUCGGGAACCGUGAGACAGGUGCUGCAUGGCUGUCGUCAGCUCGUGUCGUGAAAUGUUGGGUUAAGUCCCGUAACGAGCGCAACCCUUGUCCUUAGUUGCCAUCAGGUUAUGCUGGGCACUUUAAGGAGACUGCCGGUGAUAAACCGGAGGAAGGUGGGGAUGACGUCAAGUCCUCAUGGCCCUUACAGGUAGGGCUACACACGUGCUACAAUGGGCAGUACAGAGGGAAGCCAACCCGCGAGGGGGGAAGCGAAUCUCAUAAAGCUGUUCGUAGUCCGGAUUGGAGUCUGCAACUCGACUCCAU
This 546-nucleotide ribosomal RNA is filed under the name uncultured bacterium. RNAcentral describes it as "bacterial SSU rRNA". It matches the Rfam family "Bacterial small subunit ribosomal RNA", at positions 777 to 1321 of the family's 1533-position model. The record is from RNAcentral.